GACGAACGCUGGCGGCGUGCCUAAUACAUGCAAGUUGAGCGCUGAAGGUUGGUACUUGUACCAACUGGAUGAGCAGCGAACGGGUGAGUAACGCGUGGGGAAUCUGCCUUUGAGCGGGGGACAACAUUUGGAAACGAAUGCUAAUACCGCAUAAAAACUUUAAACACAAGUUUUAAGUUUGAAAGAUGCAGUUGCAUCACUCAAAGAUGAUCCCGCGUUGUAUUAGCUAGUUGGUGAGGUAAAGGCUCACCAAGGCGAUGAUACAUAGCCGACCUGAGAGGGUGAUCGGCCACAUUGGGACUGAGACACGGCCCAAACUCCUACGGGAGGCAGCAGUAGGGAAUCUUCGGCAAUGGACGAAAGUCUGACCGAGCAACGCCGCGUGAGUGAAGAAGGUUUUCGGAUCGUAAAACUCUGUUGGUAGAGAAGAACGUUGGUGAGAGUGGAAAGCUCAUCAAGUGACGGUAACUACCCAGAAAGGGACGGCUAACUACGU
This 496-nucleotide ribosomal RNA is filed under the name uncultured bacterium. Its description in RNAcentral is "partial 16S ribosomal RNA". It matches the Rfam family "Bacterial small subunit ribosomal RNA", at positions 28 to 506 of the family's 1533-position model. The record is from RNAcentral.